This 441-nucleotide ribosomal RNA is filed under the name uncultured bacterium. Its description in RNAcentral is "partial 16S ribosomal RNA". It matches the Rfam family "Bacterial small subunit ribosomal RNA", at positions 338 to 795 of the family's 1533-position model. The record is from RNAcentral.
CCUACGGUGGGCUGCAGUGGGGAAUAUUGCACAAUGGGGGAAACCCUGAUGCAGCGACGCCGCGUGAGUGAAGAAGUAUUUCGGUAUGUAAAGCUCUAUCAGCAGGGAAGAAGCAAGACGGUACCUGACUAAGAAGCCCCGGCUAACUACGUGCCAGCAGCCGCGGUAAUACGUAGGGGGCAAGCGUUAUCCGGAUUUACUGGGUGUAAAGGGAGCGUAGACGGUAUGGCAAGUCUGAAGUGAAAGCCCAGGGCUUAACCCUGGGACUGCUUUGGAAACUGUUAGACUAGAGUGCUGGAGAGGUAAGUGGAAUUCCUAGUGUAGCGGUGAAAUGCGUAGAUAUUAGGAGGAACACCAGUGGCGAAGGCGGGUUCCUGGACAUUAACUGACGCUGAGGCACGAAGGCCAGGGGAGCGAAAGGGAUUAGAUACCCUAGUAGUC